RNAcentral lists this long non-coding RNA (2290 nucleotides) under Calidris pugnax (ruff). RNAcentral's name for it is "lncRNA (ENSCPUG00000000341.1)". The record is from RNAcentral. Lineage: Eukaryota; Metazoa; Chordata; Aves; Charadriiformes; Scolopacidae.
ACCCCCUAGAUCUAUGGGGCAGGAGGUGACUUAGGGGGCGCCCCAUAGAUCUAUGGGGCAGGACCUGGAACCGCCAUCCCAGGGGCCAGGAGCUGGGCUUGGGGGGUGCCCCCCGAGCUCUAUGGGGCUGGGGUUUGGGGGGGGACGGACUUUACCCCCUUUCCUGCCCCACAUCUCUGGGUCUGCCCCACAUCUCUGGGUCUGCCCCACAUCUCUGGGUCUGCCCCACACCAGGUGCUGCUCUACGGGCAGCUCUACCGCAUCUCGCUGGAGCUGGAGCUCCCGGAGUCACCCCCCAACCGGGCCCUGGGGAUGUUCAUGGUCAACAUCAGCUGCUACGGGCCCCACGGCCGCCCCAUAGCGACCGCCGCCCGCGCCGUAUGUGGGGCGCUAUGGGGCAGGGAGAGGGGUGUGGGGCGCUAUGGGGCAGGGAGGGGGGUGCGGGGCGAGGUUUGGGGUCCCCCCUGCCUUCCGUUUCCAACAUCAGCCCCAUAGCGACCGCCUCCCACGCCGUAUGUGGGGCGCUAUGGGGCAGGGAAGGGGAUGUGGGGUGAGGUGUGGGGCCCUGCCCCACAUCCUGCCCCACAAGUCCCUGCCCCACACCUUCUGCCCCACAUUUCCAAUAUCAUUCCCGCUGAGCACCCCAUCUCCUCCUCCACCAUCACCCUCUGUGGGGCAGGGGGACGCUGUGGGUCCCUGCCCCACACCCUGCCCCACACCCUGCCCCACAUCUACCCCACAUCCUGCCCCACACAUCCCCAUCUGACACUUCCUGCCCCACAUUUCCAACAUCAUUUCCACCAAUCACCCCCUUGUCUUCACCUUUCCCGCCAUAUGUGGGGCUCUGUGGGGCAGGGGGACGCUGUGGGUCCCUGCCCCACACCCUGCCCCACACCCUGCCCCACACCCUGCCCCACACCCUGCCCCACAGACGAUGCUCCAUUACCGCUCCCCGCUGCUCCGCACCCUCCACACCGUGGCCUUCGCCGGACUCUUCCUCGGGGGCUUCGCGGAGCAGACGCAGACGCUGGAGGUGGAGCUUUGCUCCCGCUACCGGGAGGACCCCUACCUGCCGACGGCGGGGGCGGUGCUGCAGAUCCAGAGCAAACGGGUUCAAUUCUAUGGGGCUCGGCUCCGCGUCCAGGCGCGAUUCAGCGGCAUCAGGUGAGGGGGGCUCUGCCCCACAGCGACCCACGGCUGCCCCACAGCGACCCACGGCUGCCCCAUAGCGACCCAGAGCUGCCCCAUAGCGACCCAGAGUCAACCCCAGGGAUCAGCCCCGAGGAUUAGCUCUGUUACCGGCCCCAUAGAUCAGCCCCAUAGACGGUCUCCUGGCUCUGCCCCAUAGCAGACCCACAGCUGCCCCAUAGUGACCCAGAGCUGCCCCACAGCGACCCACGGCUGCCCCAUAGUGACCCACGGCUGCCCCACAGCGACCCACGGCUGCCCCAUAGUGACCCACGGCUGCCCCAUAGCGACCCACAGCUGCCCCAUAGCGGCCCCAGAGUCAACCCCAGGGAUCAGCCCCGAGGAUUUGCUCCGUUACCAGCCCCAUAGAUCAGCCCCAUAGACGGUCUCCUGGCUCUGCCCCAUAGCAGACCCACAGCUGCCCCAUAGUGACCCAGAGCUGCCCCACAGCGACCCACGGCUGCCCCAUAGUGACCCACGGCUGCCCCACAGCGACCCACGGCUGCCCCAUAGUGACCCACGGCUGCCCCAUAGCGACCCACAGCUGCCCCAUAGCGGCCCCAGAGUCAACCCCAGGGAUCAGCCCCGAGGAUUUGCUCCGUUACCAGCCCCAUAGAUCAGCCCCAUAGACGGUCUCCUGGCUCUGCCCCAUAGCGACCCACAGCUGCCCCAUAGCGACCCAUAGCUGCCCCAUAGCGGACCCAGAGCUGCCCCAUAGCGACCCACAGCUGCCCCAUAGCGACCCACGGCUGCCCCAUAGCAGCCCCAGGGUCAACCCCAGGGAUCAGCCCCGAGGAUUCGCUCCGUUACCAGCCCCAUAGAUCAGCCCCAUAGAUCAGCCCCACAGACAGUCUGCUGGCUCUGCCCCAUAGCGACCCACAGCUGCCCCAUAGUGACCCACGGCUGCCCCAUAGCGACCCACAGCUGCCCCAUAGCGACCCAUGGCUGCCCCAUAGCGACCCACGGCUGCCCCAUAGCAGCCCCAGGGUCAACCCCAGGGAUCAGCCCCGAGGAUUCGCUCCGUUACCAGCCCCAUAGAUCCUCCCCCAGCCCCACUUCCAGCCCCAUAGAUCAAGCAGAACUUGCCCCAAUCCCCCCUCCU